Molecule: long non-coding RNA, 625 nt
Filed under: Erythranthe guttata (spotted monkey flower)
Lineage: Eukaryota; Viridiplantae; Streptophyta; Magnoliopsida; Lamiales; Phrymaceae
Description: long non-coding RNA (EGUT_LNC000029)
Source: RNAcentral
UACCAAUUCCGAAACUAUCUACAAUAGUAAACCGGAUAUCAACAGCAGCAGUAAAUUGUGAUGCAAAAUAAUCGGAACUAACGCAUCAUCUUGGCUAUGUUGUCAUUAAUCUUACCGGUAUUAUCGUUACAUUUAUGUCCUUAGCUGUAUUUUAACGGUAUUGUCGUUAUUUUAAUGCUUCCAGCUGUAUUUUCGUUAGUCGACAGUUCAUACAUACUUCAGAUUCUGUAAAAGCUGAAACUCUCACAAAACAUUUGAAAGAGCAUGAUUACCUGACUGCCCUCAGAGUCUCCAUAUUGAUAAAUUCUUCAGUAAAGUCAGAGUGCCAUUGCAAUCUACAAUGAAGAGAAGAUGGUAAGCAGGGGUAAAAUUGUCCAGAAAAAAAUGGAUUAGGGUUUACCCAUAAGCUGAAGUACAUUCUGACUUACGUACACAAAUUGAAUCUCAUCUUUCAAUCAUCUUCCCAUUUCACGCAAACAGUCGUCAUGCUUUUAACGUGAAGGUGACUCAUCCCCACAAUUUUACGUGCGCCGAACAACACACUAACGUGCACCGCCUGCCAUGGGUAAACCCUAGCCAGCUCAUCAGCUGCUAUGAAGUAAAAUUAAUCGUAUAUGCGAAAUAA